This 2455-nucleotide small RNA is filed under the name Pan troglodytes (chimpanzee). Its description in RNAcentral is "retained intron". Lineage: Eukaryota; Metazoa; Chordata; Mammalia; Primates; Hominidae. The record is from RNAcentral.
ACAACCACACCGUGGCCAGGUGGAGACAUGGCAGACUCAACAGCCGGGAUGCAUGUAGGCGUUCUGGGCUGCUCCUCUCUCAGGAGCUGGAGGGAAAAUGAGCCUCUGGAGUCACUAGGGGGCAGGUGGAGGGUCCAGGGAAACUUUACGGGACUCAAAGGGAGCCAGGGCCAGUGGGGGUUGUCAUGCAGAGGCAGAAUUCAGCUCAGUGAAAGGCAGGGUCUUAUUCUAAGAGCAGUGCAACUCUGACAGGGGCUGCCUUGGAAGUGAUGAGCUCCCUGUGCUGAGGACUGGAAUGCCACGGAGGGACCCUGUUUUAGGAGGAGGCCGGAGUGCAUGGCCUUUCCCCUGAGGUCCCUUCCUGCCCUGAGAAUCCGGGAAAAUAGGUAGGGAGAAAAAAGCAGGGGAUUCUCUAGAAGGUCCCUUUAUCCUGGGCCUGUGAGCCUUAGGCACCACAGUCAGCCUCCCUGAGGCCUCAGAGGACACGCCCUUCCAGGCUAGGACUGUCUCAUUCCCCACUGGGCAUCUGAAUUCUAGCUGUCCUUUCCUGACAGGGCCUGGCAGUUGAGCCUCAGCAGGUUUCCUUCCCUGCUGGCUCCCUGCAGAUGGCCUCCUGGGGUGAGGUUGGGGGUGGGAAGCACAGAGCAGGGACUGUUAAAACCUUCUUUGGACACUUAAGAAGGGUUCCUGGCAUUUUGUGGUCACUGAUAAACACUGUGGCAGGUAGGUGCGGCUGGAGAGGGGUGUGGUAAAGGGAGUGGCCCUGGGCCUCACAGUGAGAGGUACCCUUGCUGGUACCCCUACCUCUUGCCAGAUCUUUACUCGAUCCUGGAACCCCCAUCCCUGUUUGCUCAGACUUGCAGACAAGCUCAGGAAAGUCAAGAGGUGCCGCAGGAGGGUUCUCAGUGGGACAGCCUGGCCAGGGUUGGGGCUGCCUGGCCUAUAGGUUAGGUCACUGUGUGAGCUCUUGGACUGGCACUGGUUAAGCAGGAUUGGCCUCUACUCUCCCACACUCCUUUGGGAGCUGGCAGUGGCUGAGAACAUAAAAGCCUAAGGAUGGCAAGGAUGCUAAGAGCAUUAACUCACAGAUCUCAGGGAGCUUGCUGUUGGGUGGGCAAAGGUCUGGUGUUGCAUGGGGCAGGCUGGGCAUCCAGUAUCUGCUCUCUUCAGUGCCGGCUGCUCCUGGAGUGGUGUUUGUUGGGAGUUGCUGGGUUGGGGUGGAGGGUUGGGGAAGGACUGGGCAGCUGCUGAUGAGAACCUCUGUUUCCUUCCCGGGUACCAGAGGGAAGUCUCAGGUUGCUCUGAAGAUCAUCCGCAACGUGGGCAAGUACCGGGAGGCUGCCCGGCUAGAAAUCAACGUGCUCAAAAAAAUCAAGGAGAAGGACAAAGAAAACAAGUUCCUGUGUGUCUUGAUGUCUGACUGGUUCAACUUCCACGGUCACAUGUGCAUCGCCUUUGAGCUCCUGGGCAAGAACACCUUUGAGUUCCUGAAGGAGAAUAACUUCCAGCCUUACCCCCUACCACAUGUCCGGCACAUGGCCUACCAGCUCUGCCACGCCCUUAGAUUUCUGCAUGAGAAUCAGCUGACCCAUACAGACUUGAAACCAGAGAACAUCCUGUUUGUGAAUUCUGAGUUUGAAACCCUCUACAAUGAGCACAAGAGCUGUGAGGAGAAGUCAGUGAAGAACACCAGCAUCCGAGUGGCUGACUUUGGCAGUGCCACAUUUGACCAUGAGCACCACACAACCAUUGUGGCCACCCGUCACUAUCGCCCGCCUGAGGUGAUCCUUGAGCUGGGCUGGGCACAGCCCUGUGACGUCUGGAGCAUUGGCUGCAUUCUCUUUGAGUACUACCGGGGCUUCACACUCUUCCAGACCCACGAAAACCGAGAGCACCUGGUGAUGAUGGAGAAGAUCCUAGGGCCCAUCCCAUCACACAUGAUCCACCGUACCAGGAAGCAGAAAUAUUUCUACAAAGGGGGCCUAGUUUGGGAUGAGAACAGCUCUGACGGCCGGUAUGUGAAGGAGAACUGCAAACCUCUGAAGAGUUACAUGCUCCAAGACUCCCUGGAGCACGUGCAGCUGUUUGACCUGAUGAGGAGGAUGUUAGAAUUUGACCCUGCCCAGCGCAUCACACUGGCCGAGGCCCUGCUGCACCCCUUCUUUGCUGGCCUGACCCCUGAGGAGCGGUCCUUCCACACCAGCCGCAACCCAAGCAGAUGACAGGCACAGGCCACCGCAUGAGGAGAUGGAGGGCGGGACUGGGCCGCCCAGCCCCUUGACUCCAGCCUCGACCACCAGGCCCCAGGCCAGAGCCACCCAAUGAACAGUGCAAUGUGAAGGAAGGCAGGAGCCUGCAGGGGAGCAGACUUGGUGCCCAGCUGCCAGAAAGCACAGAUUUGACCCAAGCUAUUUAUAUGUUAUAAAGUUAUAAUAAAGUGUUUCUUACUGUUUGU